UAACAGUGGGCUACGUUUUUCUUAACAGCCUUCAAAAUAGGCAGAGACAUGAUUCUUUCGCUGAACCUCCUCCUGUUUUUCACAGCUCUGUCAGGCUGCCACUCAGAGGUUCAACUGGUGGAGACUGGAGGGGAUAUCGUAGCACCUGGGGGCUCCCUCCGCCUCUCCUGCAAGGCUUCAGGAUUCACCUUUACCAGCUACAACAUGCACUGGAUCCGUCAGGCUCCAGGGAAAGGACUGGAGUGGGUGGCUGGAGUAAACCCUUCAGGAAGUAGCCAAUGGUAUAAUCCCAAAGUUCAGGGACGCUUCACCGUCUCCAGAGACAAUUCUCAAACUUCAGCCUAUCUGCAAAUGAACGGCUUGAAACCUGAGGACUCUGCCUUGUAUUACUGUGCAAGAGACACAGUGACAGCUUCUGGCUUCCUGCUGGUGCUAAAACCUCAGAGGUCCCUUCAUAGCCCAGGCUGGAAACAAACAGCCUACCUCUACAGCUGGAAGCGCUGUGCCAGAAAAGGACACAUUGUCAUAGACACAGGCAGAGAUUAA
Molecule: non-coding RNA, 546 nt
Organism: Rhineura floridana
Lineage: Eukaryota; Metazoa; Chordata; Lepidosauria; Squamata; Rhineuridae
Source: the annotation of a RefSeq genome assembly